AGCAAUUGCUUUUGUACAACUCCAAAACUCUUUCAUGGAACCUAGUGCUCUUGCUCGUCGACUUUAGUAUAUCCAGCUCAGGUAGCUUUCUUCUGAACCACUCAAUUCUCUGGCUCUUCCUAGCUUUUGGAGGAGGUACCAACGGAUCUAACUCCUCCUUUUCUUUUUGAUCUGAGGCCACAACCGAGACACUGCUACUACUACUACUACUACUACUCAUGGGGACAUUGGUUCUAGGAAGAGGUACGUUUGCUUUGAACGGUGGCUUAUCUUCGGAGACAGUAUAUGUUGGAGAUUCCAUGUAGAGGAGAUACAAUAAAGCACAAACCGCGAAGAUCGCGAAUAAUGGUAACUUCCUAGCUCGCAUCUUUAAUCUUUUGAAGAAAACUCUUGUUCGAUGUGUACUUCUUAGCUUUACGUUUGACAGAACUAGAGUUUCUGCGUUGCAGCAGACAAGGGUGGUUUAUAUAGAAAGUCGUAUGUUGAUAUUUUCCUAAAUCAAGAGGGAGAAUAAUCUGUGAUUUCCGUUUUGGUUUAGGACACCUAGAAACCGGAGGUCCUAUUAGAAGUAGGAAUUAGAGUUGCCUUAGGUUACAAGUAAGUUUAUUGUUCGUAAGUAAGAUCCUAACCAAUCCCUGGAUGCCGCGUGUAAACAAUGGUUUGGGAUUUUAGGAAACUUUCCUUAUUAGUGAUUUUCAGUUUCUAAAAUACGAAAAACCCUUAAUCCAAUUACCUGACAAUUAUCAUCCGAUAUACCCAACUCGUGAUUUAAUUGGUUACGGAAUCUAAGUGUAUUGUAACAAUAAAUGGAGAAAGGAAACUACUGGAUGGAUGUUUCUUUUUUCUUCAUAUUUAUUUCCUUUUAAAAAAGAUUUUCUUUUUGGUAAAAUUUAUCUGUUUUCUAAACAUAUAAACGUAGUAGGAAUUAUCGUCUUCCGUAUUUGACUUAGAAGUAUACAAAUUUAGGGUUUGGAGACAAUCUUAUCUUGCCUGCAUUAGAAACAACAACAAAUGACGAAAGAACGAACCCAAACCUAAAAAAAUCAGAAACAGAGUUUAAAACUUCUAAAGACUUUUUUUUAUUUCUUGUCAUCUUUGAAUUCCUCUGCAAACAACACAGUGGUCCGAAAUUAUGAUGUCUAUGGCACUGCCCUUUCCGAUCUUAAGUUUUUUGGUGAUCUUGUUCCACAGAUGCAGCCCGUAGCUUCCUUUGUUGAGCUUGACCAGAUCGGCUUUGAGUAAUGUCGAGUCAUUGCUACUCCUUGGCGUCCGAAACAGUAUUUGAAUGUCUAACCAAUUAAAUGGAUAGAAUGCUACUGGUGGCAAAACUGUGAAAUUG
This 1339-nucleotide long non-coding RNA is filed under the name Eutrema salsugineum. RNAcentral describes it as "long non-coding RNA (ESAL_LNC001969)". Lineage: Eukaryota; Viridiplantae; Streptophyta; Magnoliopsida; Brassicales; Brassicaceae. The record is from RNAcentral.